RNAcentral lists this long non-coding RNA (208 nucleotides) under Elaeis guineensis (African oil palm). Its description in RNAcentral is "long non-coding RNA (EGUI_LNC062608)". Lineage: Eukaryota; Viridiplantae; Streptophyta; Magnoliopsida; Arecales; Arecaceae. The record is from RNAcentral.
GGGUCGUCCCACUAUGACUGGGAAGUCCCAUGGGAUGCCUCAAUUGGCCAGUCUGAAAAUCAAACUUUCUAUUUUGAUCUCAGGGAUCGUCCAAAGUAGGUCAUCCCACUGUGCCAUAAGCCAAAACAGUGCAUGCCGGCUACUUAAUGAAAGGGGAUAACCCAAAUGGGUCACUCCAUUUUGUGCCAACCUAAUUUUUCAUACAUUA